Molecule: ribosomal RNA, 623 nt
Filed under: Neoscytalidium sp. AM15
Lineage: Eukaryota; Fungi; Ascomycota; Dothideomycetes; Botryosphaeriales; Botryosphaeriaceae
Description: eukaryotic LSU rRNA
Rfam family: Eukaryotic large subunit ribosomal RNA
Source: RNAcentral
ACCCCGUUGGCUUAAGCAUAUCAAUAAGCGGGAGGAAAAGAUACCAACAGGGAUUGCCUCAGUAACGGCGAGUGAAGCGGCAACAGCUCAAAUUUGAAAGCUGGCCCCCCCGGGGGUCCGCGUUGUAAUUUGUAGAGGAUGAUUCGGCGAGGGCUCCCGCCUAAGUCCCCUGGAACGGGGCGUCAUAGAGGGUGAGAAUCCCGUAUGCGGUGGGCUGCCUUAGCCAUGUGAAUCUCCUUCGACGAGUCGAGUUGUUUGGGAAUGCAGCUCUAAAUGGGAGGUAAAUUUCUUCUAAAGCUAAAUACCGGCCAGAGACCGAUAGCGCACAAGUAGAGUGAUCGAAAGAUGAAAAGCACUUUGGAAAGAGAGUUAAAAAGUACGUGAAAUUGUUGAAAGGGAAGCGCUUGCAGCCAGACUUGUCCGCAGUUGCUCAGCCGGUCUCCUGACCGGCGCACUCUUCUGCGGCCAGGCCAGCAUCAGUUCGGGCGGUCGGAUAAAGGCCCCGGGAACGUAGCUCCUCUCGGGGAGUGUUAUAGCCCGGGGUGGAAUGCGGCCAGCCUGGACUGAGGAUCUCGCUUCGGCUAGGAUGCUGUCGUAAAAAUUGCUGUAAGCGGCCCGUCUUG